AUGAAAGGCUGGAAGAAGGCAAAGAAAAGAUGAGGGUCUGAGUAGCAAUGUUCACAUGAAGCCAAUGCCACUUGGCUUUAUUCAGGGGUGUCCUUGAAUCUUAGAACAACCUCUUCAUGCAUGUAGAGCCGGAGUUUCACCGUGUUAGCCAGGAUGGUCUCGAUCUCCUGACCUUGUGAUGGGCCUCCCAAAGUGCUGGGAUUACAGACGUGAGCCACCGCGCCCGUACCAUGGUCUAAAAGGCUCCCUGAAAUUCCAUGUAUAAUGAAAACAAAUUUGACGAUGACAAAGGAAGCUCUGCCUGUUCCUCUGUCUUCACCCGAUUGAGGGGCCCACUCUACUUCAAGCCUUCAGCCUGCCCAAGGAAACCAGUUUCCCACUGUAACUGGAGACAGACCUCCAGAAAAUACAGAAGAACAUAUAUGGCUCACUUUAUAUUUCUGCCAGAUAGAACUGUUCUGAAGCCUCAGAGUCUUCUGUUUCAGCUGGCAGAAGGGUAAAGAGAGAGGAGAGAAGGCACACCUAAUUCAUUAAAGCUCCAGUCUGG
Molecule: long non-coding RNA, 547 nt
Filed under: Homo sapiens (human)
Lineage: Eukaryota; Metazoa; Chordata; Mammalia; Primates; Hominidae
Description: HSALNT0191817
Source: RNAcentral